CACCAAUUUUGUGGUGCUGUCACCACAGUCCCAGCAAAGUGUAAAACCAUUUAUUUUCAAAAUAAGCAAUGACGAUUUACCAGAUUGGCGUCUGUACAAGUUUAUCUGGAGGUGGGGCUUUGGUGAUUCCUUCCAUUCUAAUUUGUGCAUUUCUGUAAAGUCUGAGUUUUCAGUAACUUUGUUUUCUGUUAAUAGGAAAAUGCCACCAAAAUAUCAAAUGUCUGUAACCGGCUGCAGGAGUGACCGAGGCACCAGACCAUGGUGCCUUGAUGGGGGUGGGGGGCGGCGGGCAGGAUGAGGCGGGGUCGCCCAGGUGGCCACGUGAGCAAGCAGGUGGGAGAGCGAGCGGGUCGCACCCGCCUGCGCAGUUCGCGGCGCCCGCUGGAGGCGAGGGGCUGAGCCCGGGAGGCUGGCUUGGCUGCAGGGACGCCCUGCAGUGCCCGCAAGGCCGGCUGGGGCGGUGACGGAAAGGACGCACCUUUCAGAAGCUCGGGCUCAGAGGAGAGGAGUAGCCCAUUUGGCAGCCGGGAGGGACUGCGUGGGGCGCUGCUUCGGGGGAGGCGGCCCCCGAGAGCAGAUUUUCCACAUUUCUCACUGCGGCUCCUUGGAUGCUGACGGUAUUUUCACGCUACAUCGCCAAUGCACUCCGAUAGGUUUGUUUUAUUCCCUUAAGCUCACAGGCAGAAUUUUAUGGAGAAAAUCCCUGGAGAGCACUAAUAAUCAUUUUAAAUUCUUUUGUAGAAAACAUCGUGAAAACAAAGCAGAAAGAGCUGAAUUGACAGAGGGAGUCUCCCACGGCCCCUGCUCUGAGGAGGAGUGAGCACGCCUUUGCUCACAGCUGACUUCCGUCCAUAAAGCCCUUUUCCUGAUGGGAGGGAGACACAGCAUCCAACGUGACUUGCGCCUGCAGGUCCAAAGGGGGCAGAGCAGAGGCAGCGCAGACCUUGGGGUCCUUCAAGGCCCCUCCCCCAGCCUGGAGCUGUCCUGGGGCAGUGCACCCACAGCUGGCAGGGCUGCCGCGGGCCUGCAGAGGGCGGAGCGCACUGCAGUCCUGUGAGCGGAACCGGGUGGAAAGAAUGCAGCACAAUCCCUGGGUGUCAGUGUGG
This 1106-nucleotide long non-coding RNA is filed under the name Sus scrofa (pig). RNAcentral's name for it is "lncRNA (ENSSSCG00050003822.1, ENSSSCG00060050303.1)". Lineage: Eukaryota; Metazoa; Chordata; Mammalia; Artiodactyla; Suidae. The record is from RNAcentral.